GAGGGUGUAGCUCAGUGGUAGAGCACACGCUUUGCAUGUACAAGGUUCUGGGUUCAAUCCCCAGUACCUCCA
RNAcentral lists this transfer RNA (72 nucleotides) under Camelus bactrianus (Bactrian camel). It matches the Rfam family "tRNA". Rfam says of the family: Transfer RNA (tRNA) molecules are approximately 80 nucleotides in length. Their secondary structure includes four short double-helical elements and three loops (D, anti-codon, and T loops). Lineage: Eukaryota; Metazoa; Chordata; Mammalia; Artiodactyla; Camelidae. RNAcentral also lists the same sequence under 2 other names. The record is from Rfam by way of RNAcentral.